ACGCUCGACACCUACGUGAGGCAGCAGUGGGGAAUAUUGCACAAUGGGGGAAACCCUGAUGCAGCGACGCCGCGUGAGUGAAGAAGUAUUUCGGUAUGUAAAGCUCUAUCAGCAGGGAAGAAGAUGACGGUACCUGAGUAAGAAGCCCCGGCUAACUACGUGCCAGCAGCCGGCGGUAAUCUGAGGCGGGCUGGCAAGGC
RNAcentral lists this ribosomal RNA (200 nucleotides) under uncultured bacterium. RNAcentral's name for it is "partial 16S ribosomal RNA". It matches the Rfam family "Bacterial small subunit ribosomal RNA", at positions 328 to 539 of the family's 1533-position model. The record is from RNAcentral.